RNAcentral lists this ribosomal RNA (866 nucleotides) under uncultured bacterium. RNAcentral describes it as "bacterial SSU rRNA". It matches the Rfam family "Bacterial small subunit ribosomal RNA", at positions 1 to 886 of the family's 1533-position model. The record is from RNAcentral.
GCUUAGAGUUUGAUCCUGGCUCAGAAUGAACGCUGGCGGCGCGCUUAAUACAUGCAAGUCGAGCGGUAAGGCCCCUUCGGGGGUACACGAGCGGCGAACGGGUGAGUAACACGUGGGUAACCUACCCCAAAGCACGGGACAACAGGGGGAAACUCCUGCUAAUACCGUAUGACCUCUUUCGAGUCAGUUCUCGAUUGAGCAAAGCUCCGGCGCUUUGGGAUGGGCCCGCGGCCCAUUAGCUUGUUGGUGGGGUAACGGCCUACCAAGGCUGCGAUGGGUAGCCGGCCUGAGAGGGUGAUCGGCCACACUGGAACUGAGACACGGUCCAGACUCCUACGGGAGGCAGCAGUAGGGAAUCUUGGUCAAUGGGCGAAAGCCUGAACCAGCGACGCCGUGUGUAGGAAGAAGCCUCUAGGGGUGUAAACUACUUUAGGCAGGGACGAAGAUCUGACGGUACCUGCAGAAUAAGCCCCGGCUAACUCCGUGCCAGCAGCCGCGGUAAUACGGAGGGGGCAAGCGUUAUUCGGAAUUACUGGGCGUAAAGCGCGUGUAGGUGGCUUCCUAAGUCCCCCGUUUAAUGUCAUGGCUCAACCAUGGCGCUGCGGGAGAUACUGGGAGGCUUGAGUGCCGGAGAGGGAAACGGAAUUCCUAGUGUAGCGGUGAAAUGCAUAGAUAUUAGGAAGAACACCAGUGGCGAAGGCGGUUUCCUGGACGGUAACUGACGCUGAGACGCGAAAGCCAGGGGAGCAAACGGGAUUAGAUACCCCGGUAGUCCUGGCCGUAAACGAUGGGUACUAGAUGUAGCGGGCUUUCACCCCUGCUGUGUCGACGCUAACGCAUUAAGUACCCCGCCUGGGGAGUACGUU